GACGGAGGAUGCAAGCGUUAUCCGGAAUGAUUGGGCGUAAAGCGUUCGCAGGUGGCUAUUCAAGUCUGCUGCCAAAGACCGGGGCUUAACCCCAGAGAGGCAGUGGAAACUGAAUGGCUGGAGUACAGAUCGGGUAGAGGGAAUUCCCAGUGUAGCGGUGAAAUGCGUAGAGAUUGGGAAGAACACCGGUGGCGAAAGCGCUCUGCUGGACCGCAACUGACACUGAGGGACGAAAGCUAGGGGAGCGAAAGGG
RNAcentral lists this ribosomal RNA (253 nucleotides) under uncultured bacterium. Its description in RNAcentral is "partial 16S ribosomal RNA". It matches the Rfam family "Bacterial small subunit ribosomal RNA", at positions 524 to 776 of the family's 1533-position model. The record is from RNAcentral.